CUCAGAAUGAACGCUGGCGGCAGGCCUAACACAUGCAAGUCGAGCGAAGUCUUCGGACUUAGCGGCGGACGGGUGAGUAACGCGUGGGAACAUACCCUUUGGUACGGAAUAGCCUCGGGAAACUGGGAGUAGUACCGUAUGUGCCCUUCGGGGGGAAAAAGGUUUUAUCGCCAAAAGGAUUGGCCCGCGUUGGAUUAGGUAGUUGGUGGGGUAAUGGCCUACCAAGCCGACGAUCCAUAGCUGGUUUGAGAGGAUAAUCAGCCACACUGGGACUGAGACACGGCCCAGACUCC
This 293-nucleotide ribosomal RNA is filed under the name unidentified marine bacterioplankton. RNAcentral describes it as "partial 16S ribosomal RNA". It matches the Rfam family "Bacterial small subunit ribosomal RNA", at positions 23 to 339 of the family's 1533-position model. The record is from RNAcentral.